This 376-nucleotide ribosomal RNA is filed under the name uncultured bacterium. RNAcentral describes it as "bacterial SSU rRNA". It matches the Rfam family "Bacterial small subunit ribosomal RNA", at positions 521 to 896 of the family's 1533-position model. The record is from RNAcentral.
UAAUACGUAGGGGGCGAGCGUUACCCGGAAUCACUGGGCGUAAAGGGAGCGUAGGUGGCCUGACAUGUCGACUGUGAAAACCCGGAGCUCAACUCCGGACUUGCAGUUGAAACUGCCAGGCUUGAGGACGGUAGAGGAAGACGGAACUGCCAGUGUAGGGGUAAAAUCCUUAGAUAUUGGCAGGAACGCCGGUGACGAAGGUGGUUUUCUGGGCCGGUUCUGACACUGAUGCUCGAAAGCCAGGGGAGCGAACGGGAUUAGAUACCCCGGUAGUCCUGGCCCUAAACGAUGUUCACUAGGUGUGGGGAGCGGAAAGCUUUCCGUGCUAAAGCUAACGCGAUAAGUGAACCGCCUGGGGAGUACGCCCGCAAGGGUG